Xyrichtys novacula (pearly razorfish) is the source of this 2896-nucleotide non-coding RNA. NCBI's taxonomy places the organism in Eukaryota, Metazoa, Chordata, Actinopteri, Labriformes, Labridae. The record is from the annotation of a GenBank genome assembly.
CAGAAAAUGACAUGAAACAUGCCACAGUCUGUGAGUACCUGGGGCAUGGGUGUAAUAAACUUUCUUCAUUUGUAUUUCAUUGGAAAACCUCAGGGGCAGUGAUUCAUCGAGAAACGAUGGCAUAAAAACUAUGGCGGCCCUCACUCCCAUAGCCAGCAAGUGUUUUGAGAGCCUGGUCAAAGGUCUCAUAUGCCCCAUGCUCCCCCCCAGCCUUGACCCCCUACAGUUUGCCUACCAAGCAAACAGGCGCACAGAAGAUGCCAUCACUCAUGUCCUUCACACGGCCCUUUCCCACCUGGAACGUAGCGGCACUUAUGUAAGGAUACUGUUUGUGGACAACAUCUCCGCUUUCAAUACCAUCUUACCGUCCGGGCUCGAUGACAAGCUUCAGCCUAGGCGGGAGGCCAUCACUGCGCAGAUGGAUCCAAAGCUUCCUGACGAACCGCCCCCAAACAGUAAGAGUGUCUGACCAGACAUCAUCCACACUGUGUGUCAGUAUAGGAGCGCCACAGGGCUGCAUCCUCAGCCCUCUCCUGUACUCGUUGUACCCCUACGACUGCGUGGCGACCGACCAUCAAAACCACGUCGUGAAGUUCGCCGAUGACACGGUAGUGGUGGGCCUGGUCUCCGGCGGCGACGAGUCAGCCUACAGGGAGGAGGUGGCCAACGUGGUGCAGCGAUGCACAAGUGACAACCUCUCCUUAAAUGCCAACAAGACCAAGGAGAUCGUGGUCAACCCCAGGAGGAAGAUGGAGGACGAGCUGCAGCUGAUCAUCAUCAAUGGCACAGCGGUGGAGAGGGUGGACACAUUCAAAUAUCUGGGAGUCAACACCUCUGCAGACCUUUCAUGGGAUUGCCACACCACAGCAGUGGUAAAGAAGGCCCAACAGCACCUAUAUGGACUCAGGCGCCUAAAACAGUUUGGCCUUAGACCCAACACCAUCAGGGACUUCUACAGAGGCACCAUAGAGAGCCUUCUGGCCUUCAGCUUCACAGCCUGGUAUGGCAGCUGCACAGACAGAAACCAUAAGGCACUGGGGAGGGUGGUUCCGAACUGCCAGUAACACCACUGGGUGUGAGCUGCCCAGUCUGGAGGACCUCUACAGCCAGCGCUGCCUCAGCAAAGCCCAGGGGAUAAUGGAGGACCCCACCCACCCCCACAAAGGACUAUUCAUUCCCCUGAGGUCCAAAAGGGUAGACUCCAUUAGACUGCUAAAUAAAUGUUGACAGUAGAAAUGAUGGGUAAUAUCUAAAUGUGCAAUACCACACUGCACUUUGCACUACUGCAUUUUCCUGACCGCCGGUUUUAUUGUUGCCUGUUUGCCUGUUUUUCAUUGCCAUGCUGACUGACAGUUGCUUUGUAUAAGACACUUUUGUUUAUCUUUCAUAAUAACAUUGUCUUUUUUUUAAGCUGAGAACCGAAACUAAAAAGUAACGCACACACAGAAAAUGACAGGCUGAAGCAUGCCACAGUCUGUGUGUACCUGGGGCAUGGGUGUAAUAAACUUUCUUCAUUUGUAUUUCAUUGGAAAACCUCAGGGGCAGUGAUUCAUCGAGCAACGAUGGCAUAAAAGCUAUGGGGGCCCUCACUACCAUAGCCAGCAAGUGUUUUGAGAGCCUGGUCAAAGGUCUCAUAUGCCCAAUGCUCCCCCCCAGCCUUGACCCCCUAUAGUUUGCCUACCAAGCAAACAGGCGCACAGAAGAUGCCAUCACUCAUGUCCUUCACACAGCCCUUUCCCACCUGGAAUGUAGUGGCACCUAUGUAAGGAUGCUGUUUGCGGACAACAUCUCCGCUUUCAAUACCAUCUUACCAUCCGGGCUCGAUGGCAAGCUUCGAGACCUAGGCGGGAGGCCAUCGCUGCGCAGAUGGAUCCAAAGCUUCCUGACGAACCGCCCCCAAACAGUAAGAGUGGCUGACCAGACAUCAUCCACACUGUGUGUCAGUAUAGGAGCGCCACAGGGCUGCAUCCUCAGCCCUCUCCUGUACUCGUUGUACCCCUACGACUGCGUGGCGACUGACCAUCAAACCACGUUGUGAAGUUCGCCGAUGACACGGUAGUGGUGGGCCUGGUCUCCGGCGGCGAUGAGUCAGCCUACAGGGAGAAGGUGGCCAACGUGGUGCAGCGAUGCACAAGUGACAACCUCUCCCUAAAAGCCAACAAGACCAAGGAGAUCGUGGUCAACCCCAGGAGGAAGAUGGAGGACGAGCUGCAGCCGAUCAUCAUCAAUGGCACAGCGGUGGAGAGGGUGGACACAUUCAAAUAUCUGGGAGUCAACACCUCUGCAGACCUCUCAUGGGAUUGCCACACCACAGCAGUGGUAAAGAAGGCCCAACAGCACCUAUAUGGACUCAGGCGCCUAAAACAGUUUGGCCUUAGACCCAACACCAUCAGGGACUUCUACAGAGGCACCAUAGAGAGCCUUCUGGCCUUCAGCUUCACAGCCUGGUAUGGCAGCUGCACAGACAGAAACCAUAAGGCACUGGGAAGGGUGGUUCCGAACUGCCAGUAACACCACUGGGUGUGAGCUGCCCAGUCUGGAGGACCUCUACAGCCAGCGCUGCCUCAGCAAAGCCCAGGGGAAAAUGGAGGACCCCACCCACCCCCACAAAGGACUAUUCAUUCCCCUGAGGUCCAAAAGGGUAGACUCUAUAAGACUGCUAAAUAAAUGUUGACAGUAGAAAUGAUUGGUAAUAUCUAAAUGUGCAAUACCACACUGCACUUUGCACUACUGCAUUUUCCUUACCGCCGGUUUUAUUGUUGCCUGUUUGCCUGUUUUUCAUUGCCAUUCUCUUUGAUAUGUGUAGGCUUUUUAGUCUGUAUGGAGCUACCGAGCAGGAAGUAUUUCACAUGUAUGUACUGCAUCUAAGUGACAAUAAAGUGAAAGUAAAGUAAAG